Molecule: long non-coding RNA, 564 nt
Organism: Acromyrmex echinatior (Panamanian leafcutter ant)
Lineage: Eukaryota; Metazoa; Arthropoda; Insecta; Hymenoptera; Formicidae
Source: RefSeq, a predicted model, not a curated record
AAUAACGGCAACAGCAUAUAUUAUUGAAGUUUAACCUCAAAUAUGUGUCUUUUAUUUGCUCAGCUCAAAAAUUAAGUAGGAUUUCUAUCUUGUUGGAUAAAAAAAAUCGAUUUUUUUUACAUAUUCUUAAAGAUUGUACUUUCAAAAAAAAAAAAAUGUAAAAAUUUUAUGUCAAAGAGUAAAACUUCUCGAAGAGGAAGUUUUGGAAUACGACAGCAUAUUGCACAAAGUUCUCCUUAUAAAUUUAUUUAUGACCUGUAUUCAGAACACGCUUUAAUCAAUAAAAACACACUUUUAUCUCUACAAUUUUUAGUAAAUGUAAAUGCGUAACGUAAAUUGUAGCAUGUUAACGCGCUAACAUCGUUGAAUAUCCUUCAUCUUAUCCAUAUUAAUAAUCUUUUUCCUCAAUACGUUUAUCCGGCCAAAAAUCAAUUACAGAUACUUUAAGGAGACAAUCUUCAUAGGAACAAGUGCUCAUCAAGGCGGCGAGCAGAUAUUGAUGAGUAAACGGAUCCCAUUUUAAACGCCAGACUCCACCAUCGAGACAAAGUGUCGAUAUUGGCC